This 1373-nucleotide long non-coding RNA is filed under the name Vulpes vulpes (red fox). Its description in RNAcentral is "lncRNA (ENSVVUG00000003562.1)". Lineage: Eukaryota; Metazoa; Chordata; Mammalia; Carnivora; Canidae. The record is from RNAcentral.
CAAUCCAGAGCAAAGAGACUUGGUGCAGGAGGGACAGGGGGGAGGAGAAGCCUGUUCCAGCAGAGGUGAAAACCAGGGACUCCAAGAUGGCAGCCUUGAGCCCGUGGAGAAGAAGACUUCCCAGAGAGGAGAGUCUUCACUCACUGACUGCUACGGACCCUUCUCAGGACAGCUCAUCGCCACCAUGAAGGAAGCCUGUCGCUAUGCCCUGCAGGUGAAACCUCAGCGUCUGAUGGCAGCAAUGUACACUUGUGACAUCAUGGCCACCGGUGAUGUUCUUGGUACGUCCUGGAGAAGACUCUCCAGAGCCUUCGGCUUGUUUUUUCUGAGAAGAUUUUCUGUGCCCUUUCGCUGUUCCAUUGCCGUCUGUUGAGGUAUACUUUACUUGCUCAGCAUCCCUCUUAAAGCAGCCGUAUGUGAACAUAGCACCGCAGAUACCAUCUGACCGGCAUGGAGCACAGACUUGCUCUCGCCUCCCCAAUGUGACAGCACUCUCCUGAUGACAGCGUUUAACAGUUGCAUCCUGUCACUGACUCGUAGGGAGUCAAAAUCAACCUCAACCUCGUUUCUUUUUUAAAAUAAGUUACAUCUUCCCGCUUAUUCCCCAGAAAGCAGAAUCCAAAUUUUGGUAUUGACUAGGUCAUAGAAAGUACAUAGUCCCACAGACAACUGUAUUUAGUUACGAGUCAGCCAGAUUUAUACAAUUCAUUUUUCCCUUAGGUUUUAUAUAGAUACACAAUGCUCAUAGGAAGGUUUUUACUGUUUGUUUGUUUUUAAUGCCAAGACAAAGAAGUCCCAGCACCACAAUCUUAACACAGAUUCUUUUUUCAUUUUUUUUUUCAUGUGUCUUUUUUUUCAUCUGGUGAGAACUGAAACUCCGUAAGCAGUGAACUGAAUGUUUUGAUGAAGUUAAGUUCCUUCAUAUCUAUAGAUUUCCCCUGAUGAUCAGCAUACCAACCAUAUAAAAGAAGUAAGCGUAGGUUGAUAAGCUAUUGUGACGCAGCCCAUGAUGUCCAGAGGCCUAACUCAUGCUUGUAUAAAUAUACACAAAUCUUUAAUAUUUCUUAAAAAUCUGCAGGGUUAGUUAGCAUGUGGCUUCGUAGUCUGCAACUUAUACUGCAGGGGGUUUUUACCCCACUCCCCAGAGGUUCAUUUGUUGGUAGAUGCCUAUCAUCCAUAGUUUCUCAGAAGGCCAAGUUCCUUCAGGAGCAUGAGAUCCAGAGACAGAAUCCAUGUACCUGCUCGUCAGCUUCUCUGCUGUCUUGAACACGAGUGUUGUCUCUACGUGUGUGCCCCCCACUAAAGAGAGAGCAGGACACACAGAUAUGAGGAAGCCCUGCGUCCCGGCUCUUCUCUGUUGACACUGCACAUGU